Molecule: ribosomal RNA, 430 nt
Filed under: uncultured bacterium
Lineage: Bacteria
Description: bacterial SSU rRNA
Rfam family: Bacterial small subunit ribosomal RNA
Source: RNAcentral
GUGGGGAAUAUUGCACAAUGGGCGAAAGCCUGAUGCAGCAACGCCGCGUGAGGGACGACGGCCUUCGGGUUGUAAACCUCUUUUAGUAGGGAAGAAGCGAAAGUGACGGUACCUGCAGAAAAAGCACCGGCUAACUACGUGCCAGCAGCCGCGGUAAUACGUAGGGUGCAAGCGUUAUCCGGAAUUAUUGGGCGUAAAGAGCUCGUAGGCGGUCUGUCGCGUCUGCUGUGAAAACUGGAGGCUCAACCUCCAGCCUGCAGUGGGUACGGGCAGACUAGAGGGCGGUAGGGGAGAUUGGAAUUCCUGGUGUAGCGGUGGAAUGCGCAGAUAUCAGGAGGAACACCGAUGGCGAAGGCAGAUCUCUGGGCCGUAACUGACGCUGAGGAGCGAAAGCGUGGGGAGCGAACAGGAUUAGAUACCCCGGUAGUCC